Molecule: transfer RNA, 76 nt
Filed under: Methylacidimicrobium sp. AP8
Lineage: Bacteria; Pseudomonadati; Verrucomicrobiota
Description: tRNA-Thr
Rfam family: tRNA
About the family: Transfer RNA (tRNA) molecules are approximately 80 nucleotides in length. Their secondary structure includes four short double-helical elements and three loops (D, anti-codon, and T loops). Further hydrogen bonds mediate the characteristic L-shaped molecular structure. tRNAs have two regions of fundamental functional importance: the anti-codon, which is responsible for specific mRNA codon recognition, and the 3' end, to which the tRNAs corresponding amino acid is attached (by aminoacyl-tRNA synthetases). tRNAs cope with the degeneracy of the genetic code in two manners: having more than one tRNA (with a specific anti-codon) for a particular amino acid; and 'wobble' base-pairing, i.e. permitting non-standard base-pairing at the 3rd anti-codon position.
Source: RNAcentral
GCCGCUUUAGCUCAGAGGUAGAGCAACGCUUUCGUAAAGCGUGGGUCAAGGGUUCGAAUCCCUUAAGCGGCUGCCA